GCCUCCUUGGCUUAGUGGUAUAGCGCCUCUCUCGUAAAGAGGAGAUCCAGUGUUCGACUCACUGAGGGGGCA
This is a non-coding RNA of Cantharellus anzutake, 72 nucleotides long. The record is from the annotation of a RefSeq genome assembly. NCBI's taxonomy places the organism in Eukaryota, Fungi, Basidiomycota, Agaricomycetes, Cantharellales, Hydnaceae.